Molecule: ribosomal RNA, 333 nt
Filed under: uncultured bacterium
Lineage: Bacteria
Description: bacterial SSU rRNA
Rfam family: Bacterial small subunit ribosomal RNA
Source: RNAcentral
CGUGUAGGCGGUUGGUCAAGUCGGGUGUGAAAGCCCGAGGCUCAGCCUCGGAAGUGCAUCCGAAACUAGCCAGCUAGAGCGCGAUAGAGGAGGGUGGAAUUCCUGGUGUAGCGGUGAAAUGCGUAGAUAUCAGGAGGAACACCGGCGGCGAAGGCGGCCCUCUGGAUCGUUGCUGACGCUGAGACGCGAAAGCGUGGGGAGCAAACAGGAUUAGAUACCCUGGUAGUCCACGCCUUAAACGAUGGGUACUAGGUGUUCGGGGUGUUGACCCCCUGAGUGCCGCAGUUAACGCAUUAAGUACCCCGCCUGGGGACUACGGCCGACAAGGUUAAA